UUUGUUGAUUUUUUUUCUUUUGUUGUUUGUGCUUUUGGUAUCAUGCUCUCCCAAAUUGUUUCCAAGACCAAUAUCGAUGAGCUUCUUCCCUACAUUUUCCUCUAGGAUUUUUAUGGUAUCAAGGCUUAUGUUUAAGUCUUCAUUCCAUUUUGAGUUAAUUUUUGUAACUAGUGUGAGAUAGGGAUCCACUUUCAUUCUUUUACAUGUGACUA
This is a non-coding RNA of Ceratotherium simum simum (southern white rhinoceros), 212 nucleotides long. The record is from RefSeq and is a predicted model, not a curated record. NCBI's taxonomy places the organism in Eukaryota, Metazoa, Chordata, Mammalia, Perissodactyla, Rhinocerotidae.